RNAcentral lists this ribosomal RNA (266 nucleotides) under uncultured bacterium. Its description in RNAcentral is "partial 16S ribosomal RNA". It matches the Rfam family "Bacterial small subunit ribosomal RNA", at positions 790 to 1055 of the family's 1533-position model. The record is from RNAcentral.
GUCCACCGCCCCUAAACGAUGCAUACUUGGUGUGGGCAGUUCAGUCUGUCCGUGCCGGAGCUAACGCGUUAAGUAUGCCGCCUGGGGAGUACGGUCGCAAGGCUGAAACUCGAAAGGAAUUGACGGGGGCCCCGCACAAGCGGUGGAGCAUGUGGUUUAAUUCGACGCAACGCGAAGAACCUUACCUGGGCUCGAACGGCUUAGGACCGGGUAGAAAUAUCCCUUUCCCGCAAGGGACCUGAGUCGAGGUGCUGCAUGGCUGUCGU